RNAcentral lists this ribosomal RNA (468 nucleotides) under uncultured bacterium. RNAcentral describes it as "partial 16S ribosomal RNA". It matches the Rfam family "Bacterial small subunit ribosomal RNA", at positions 28 to 507 of the family's 1533-position model. The record is from RNAcentral.
GACGAACGCUGGCGGCGCGCCUAACACAUGCAAGUCGAACGGAGCUGAGAGAAGCUUGCUUUUCUUAGCUUAAUGGCGAACGUGUGAGUAACGCGUGAUUAACCUGCCCUGGAGUGGGGGCCAACAGUUUGAAACUACUGCUAAUACCGCAUAAGUCCACGAUCCGGCAUCGGAUUGAGGGCAAAGGAUUUAUUCGCUUCAGGAUGGACUCGCGUCCAAUUAGCUAGUUGGUGAGGUAACGGCCCACCAAGGCGACGAUUGGUAGCCGGACGGAGAGGUUGAACGGCGACAUUGGGACAGAGACAAGACCCAGACUCCUACGGGAAGCAGCAGAGAGGGAUAUUGGACAAUAGGGGAAACGCUGAUGCAGCGACGGCGGGUGGAGGAAGAAGGUUUUCGGAUUGUAAACUACUGUCGUUAGGGACGAUAAUGACGGUACCUAACAAGAAAGCACCGGCUAACUACGUG